GGGGCUUGGCCCUUUAUAGACCUACGAUGUAAUAAUACCCUAACCACAUACCCACCAUACGACUGGAAUCACACAUACACUGCCACAAGAGGUCUGCAGUGAAGGUCCCAAAGUCCCAGACAAGUCCCCUCUUGUUGCCCAGGCUGGAGUGCAGCAGCAUGAUUACAGCUCACAUCAGCCUCGACCUCCCGGGCUCAAGCUAUCCUCCUACCUCAGCCUCCCAAGUAGCUGGGACUAUAGAUAAGACUGAAAGCAACACCAGCCAGUCUUGGGAAAUAUAAAGUCACAAAUAAAUUUUGAUAAUUUUUCAUUUCGUAAAGGAUCUUUCUGCUGAUGCAGCUGUUAAGAGUGUUUCAUAAACUGUGACAACACUAAGCAAAAUCAUAGAAGGAAACUCUAUGGACAAUUUCAGAUGGAGAAGAAGAAAGGACUGGAAGUUCAAUUUGGCCAUGACAAUUAGAGGCCAGGUGCAGUGCAUGUAAUCCCAGCACUUUGGGAGACUGAGAUGGGAAGAUCGCUUGAGGCCAGGAGUGCAAGACCAGCCUGGGCAACACAGCAAGACCUUGAUUCUACUAAAAAAAAAAAAGGAUCCUUCAACUUCAACAAUAAUAACACAAGGGAAGUGAAGAAAAACACUUUCUAAGGAAAUCUCUCUCUGAGCUACCAUCCUGCUAGGGAGAGCCUGAAAGCAGAAUGCUGACUUGACUAGCUCUGGUCAAUGAAAGAAAUCACCAGUGGAAAGGCUACCAGGGGGCUUUCUCAAAAGAGAGGGACAGUAAACUGCAAGAUGAACAACUCAAUGCCAUCCAGGUCUGGAUGAGAAAGAACAGUCGAGAGACUGAGUUUCAGGAGUGGAAACACUCAAAGCAUCAUCUUCCACUUUCUUCUCCGGCUGCUAGGAAGAAGGGAAAAACACAGACCUUCUGAGGACCUGCGGAGCAAACCACUGGCUUCAGAAAAGCAAACAGGGACUUCCCUCUGCGCAGCAGGAAGCAGUUAGCCUAGUCGGAGGCUUGACUGAAGAAACAAAUGAGGGAAGGCAGAAGUUGAGACGCAGCCAGUAGAGGAAACUCCGGGAGAGGCAGGCAGCGUCACUUGAAGAAAAGCUCUAUUGUGAUGGGAACAAUCACAGGAACUAAGCGGCAACAAAAUGGCUCCCCACCCCCUCUGCAAAUCCCAACUCCAUGCAAGCACUCUCCCUUCCCUCAUUUUCUUUUCUUUUUUUUUGAGAUGGAGUCUCGCUCUGUUGCCCAGGCUGGAGUGCAGUAGCGCGAUCUCGGCUCACUGCAACCUCCACCUUCUGGUUUCAAGCAAUUCUCCUGCCUCAGCCUCCCCAGUAGCUGGGACUACAGGCGUGUGCCACCACGCCUGGCUAAUUUUUUUUUUUAAUUUUUAGUAGAGACAGAGUUUCACCAUGUUGGCCAGGCUGGUCUCGAACUCCUGGCCUCAAGUGAUCCACCUGCCUCAGCCUCCCAAAGUGGUGGGAUUACAGGUGUAAGCGACCACGCCCGGCCUUUUAAAAUCGACUUGAGUCUCAUCUCCUGAAAUGCAAAAUGCAUUGGGCCUGUCUCUUACUUCUGCAUGUCUCAUAAUGCUUAGCACAGCACAAGCCCCGAGAGCGCAUCAUACACCCUGGGGUGGGGAGCUCCUGGCAGGGCUGGAUCCACUCACCAUUCCUGCCAUCCAUUGGCACUUGGCUCAGCACAGUUAGGCCAACAAGGACAUAAUAGACAAGUCCAAAACAGUACUGCACGACGUGAAUCAUGACAUUGGAGAAGACACUGACGUAGAGGCACUCGAAGAGUCUUCGUAAGCUGUGCAGCCACAGAAAUACUAGCACUAAGAAUGCAGACAGUGCCAGCUCCCCUCCUACAAUUCAGAAGGCAACAGGGUCAGCAUUUCUCUUCUGGGAUUAAUCCAAAGUUUUGUUUUUCUGUACUGUUAAGCAAAGUAUUAAAUCCCAUCUAACAUC
This 1972-nucleotide long non-coding RNA is filed under the name Homo sapiens (human). RNAcentral's name for it is "PREDICTED lncRNA (TCONS_00205951)". Lineage: Eukaryota; Metazoa; Chordata; Mammalia; Primates; Hominidae. The record is from RNAcentral.